GAUGAACGCUGGCGGCGUGCCUAAUACAUGCAAGUCAAGCGAACGGACGAGAAGCUUGCUUCUCUGAUGUUAGCGGCGGAAGGGUGAGUAACACGUGGAUAACCUACCUAUAAGACUGGGAUAACUUCGGGAAACCGGAGCUAAUACCGGAUAAUAUUUUGAACCGCAUGGUUCAAAAGUGAAAGACGGUCUUGAUGUCACUUAUAGAUGGAUCCGCGCUGCAUUAGCUAGUUGGUAAGGUAACGGCUUACCAAGGCAACGAUGCAUAGCCGACCUGAGAGAGUGAUCGGCCACACUGUAACUGAGACACGGUCCAGACUCCUACGGGAGGCAGCAGUAGGGAAUCUUCCGCAAUGGGCGAAAGCCUGACGGAGCAACGCCGCGUGAGUGAUGAGGGUCUUCGGAUCGUAGAACUCUGUUAUUAGGGAAGAACAUAUGUGUAAGUAACUGUGCACAUCUUGACGGUACCUAAUCAGAAAGCCACGGCUAACUACGUG
This 497-nucleotide ribosomal RNA is filed under the name uncultured bacterium. RNAcentral's name for it is "partial 16S ribosomal RNA". It matches the Rfam family "Bacterial small subunit ribosomal RNA", at positions 28 to 507 of the family's 1533-position model. The record is from RNAcentral.